This 116-nucleotide ribosomal RNA is filed under the name Bacillus anthracis (anthrax bacterium). RNAcentral also lists the same sequence under 6 other names. Lineage: Bacteria; Bacillati; Bacillota; Bacilli; Caryophanales; Bacillaceae. The record is from RNAcentral.
UCUGGUAAUGAUGGCAGAGAGGUCACACCCGUUCCCAUACCGAACACGGAAGUUAAGCUCUUUAGCGCCGAUGGUAGUUGGGACCUUGUCCCUGUGAGAGUAGGACGUUGCCAGGC